Molecule: RNase P RNA, 353 nt
Filed under: bovine gut metagenome
Description: Bacterial RNase P class A
Rfam family: Bacterial RNase P class A
About the family: Ribonuclease P (RNase P) is a ubiquitous endoribonuclease, found in archaea, bacteria and eukarya as well as chloroplasts and mitochondria. Its best characterised activity is the generation of mature 5'-ends of tRNAs by cleaving the 5'-leader elements of precursor-tRNAs.
Source: RNAcentral
GAGCAGGCCGAGCGACCGCGGGUACAUUCCGAAAGGAAGUGCGUGAGGAAAGUCCGGGCUCCAUAGGGCAAGGAUAACGGGUAACGCCCGCCAGGGGUGACCCUCGGACAAGUGCAACAGAGAUAUACCGCUUUGCCGGUGAACGCCGGCAGAGUAAGGGUGGAAAGGCGGAGAUAAGCGCCCGCCCGCGGCAUGGAGACACGUCCGCGCUGUAAACUCUAUCCGGAGCAACGCCGUGGAGGAACAUGAAGGCCGGCCCGGCCGUUCCGAGGAGGCGGCUUGAGCGCAAGCGGCAACGCUUCGCCACAGAUAGAUGGUCGCUGAAAACAGAACCCGGCUUACAGACCGGCUCA